This 615-nucleotide ribosomal RNA is filed under the name uncultured organism. RNAcentral's name for it is "bacterial SSU rRNA". It matches the Rfam family "Bacterial small subunit ribosomal RNA", at positions 199 to 824 of the family's 1533-position model. The record is from RNAcentral.
GGGCAAAGAUUAUCGCUUUUGGAGGGGGGUGCGUCCUAUCAGGUAGUUGGUGUGGUAAUAGCUCACCAAGCCUAUGACGGGUAGCCGGUCUGAGAGGAUGUCCGGCCGCAAUGGAACUGAGACACGGUCCAUACUCCUACGGGAGGCAGCAGUGGGGAAUCUUGCGCAAUGGGCGAAAGCCUGACGCAGCAAUCCCGCGUGAAGGAUGAAGCAUUAUGGUGUGUAAACUUCUUUUCUGGUGGAAGACGAAUGACGGUACACCAGGAAUAAGGGACGGCUAACUACGUGCCAGCAGCCGCGGUAAUACGUAGGUCCCAAGUGUUAUCCGGAAUUACUGGGCGUAAAGAGUCUGUAGCCGGGUUUGUAAGUCUGUUUUCAAAUCCUAUGGCUUAACCAUAGAGAGGGAAUGGAUACUGCAAACCUUGAGAUUAUUGGGGGUUGAUGGAAUUUCCGUGUGGAGCCGGUGAAAAUGCCGUUGCAUAUUCGGGAAAGGAACCGCCAAAAAGUGAAAGCAGUCAACUACAAUAAAUCUGACGGUCAGAGACGAAAGCUUGGGGAGCAAACGGGAUUAGAUACCCCGGUAGUCCAAGCCGUAAAUUAUGCAUGCUAGGUGUC